UGGGGAAUAUUGGACAAUGGGGGGAACCCUGAUCCAGCCAUGCCGCGUGUGUGAAGAAGGCCUUAUGGUUGUAAAGCACUUUAAGCGAGGAGGAGGGUACUGGUAUUAAUACUACCAGGUACUGGACGUUACUCGCAGAAUAAGCACCGGCUAACUCUGUGCCAGCAGCCGCGGUAAUACAGAGGGUGCGAGCGUUAAUCGGAUUUACUGGGCGUAAAGCGUGCGUAGGCGGCUAAUUGAGUCGGAUGUGAAAUCCCCGAGCGUAACUUGGGAAUUGCAUUCGAUACUGGUUAGCUAGAGUGUGGGAGAGGAUGGUAGAAUUCCAGGUGUAGCGGUGAAAUGCGUAGAUAUAGGAAGGAACACCAGUGGCGAAGGCGACCACCUGGGCUCAUACUGACACUGAGGUGCGAAAGCGUGGGGAGCAAACAGG
Molecule: ribosomal RNA, 430 nt
Filed under: Pseudomonadota bacterium
Lineage: Bacteria; Pseudomonadati; Pseudomonadota
Description: Proteobacteria bacterium partial 16S ribosomal RNA
Rfam family: Bacterial small subunit ribosomal RNA
Source: RNAcentral